Molecule: non-coding RNA, 82 nt
Organism: Ixodes scapularis (black-legged tick)
Lineage: Eukaryota; Metazoa; Arthropoda; Arachnida; Ixodida; Ixodidae
Source: Rfam
GCAGUCGUGGCCGAGUGGUUUAGGUGAUCGACCAGAAAUCCAUUGGGGUCUCCCCGCACAGGUUCGAAUCCUGUCGACUGCG